RNAcentral lists this ribosomal RNA (505 nucleotides) under uncultured bacterium. RNAcentral's name for it is "partial 16S ribosomal RNA". It matches the Rfam family "Bacterial small subunit ribosomal RNA", at positions 28 to 507 of the family's 1533-position model. The record is from RNAcentral.
GACGAACGCUGGCGGCGUGCCUAAUACAUGCAAGUAGAACGCACAGUUUAUACCGUAGCUUGCUACACCAUAGACUGUGAGUUGCGAACGGGUGAGUAACGCGUAGGUAACCUGCCUGGUAGCGGGGGAUAACUAUUGGAAACGAUAGCUAAUACCGCAUAAUAUUGAUUAUUGCAUGAUAAUUGAUUGAAAGAUGCUAUUGCAUCACUACCAGAUGGACCUGCGUUGUAUUAGCUAGUAGGUGAGGUAACGGCUCACCUAGGCGACGAUACAUAGCCGACCUGAGAAGGUGAUCGGCCACACUGGGACUGAGACACGGCCCAGACUCCUACGGGAGGCAGCAGGAGGGAAUCUUCGGCAAGGGACGAAAGUCUGACCGAGCAACGCCGCGUGAGUGAAGAAGGGUGUCGGAUCGUAAAGCUCUGUUGUAAGAGAAGAACGGGUGUGAGAGUGGAAAGUUCACACUGUGACGGUAUCUUACCAGAAAGGGACGGCUAACUACGUG